This 603-nucleotide ribosomal RNA is filed under the name Triticum aestivum (bread wheat). RNAcentral's name for it is "partial small subunit ribosomal RNA". The record is from RNAcentral. Lineage: Eukaryota; Viridiplantae; Streptophyta; Magnoliopsida; Poales; Poaceae.
AUGCACAGACGGCACUGUGGCAUGGCUUGCCGCAUGUGUGGCUCAUGCUGCUGCGGAUCCGACGGCUGGGCCGCGUCAUUUUCAGGCCGCAUUGGGUAUUCCUCACUGGCGUGUUGUGAUGGAGCAGGAAUUUCAGGCUUUGCUGAAAAUGGCACUUGGCAACUUGUUCCUCCGGUCUCUGGCAUCAACAUCAUUGACUCCAAAUGGGUGUUUAAGGUAAAACGACAUGCAGAUGGUUCUAUUGAGCGCUACAAGGCACGGCUGGUUGCCAAGGGUGUCAAGCAGAGGUAUGGUCUUGAUUAUGAAGACACGUUCAGUCCAGUUAUCAAGCCUACUACUAUUCGUAUACUGCUGUCUCUUGCUGUUACUCGUGGUUGGUCUCUUCGUCAGCUUGACGUGCAGAAUGCCUUCCUCCAUGGAGUUCUUGAGGAAGAGGUUUAUAUGCGUCAACCACCAGGUUUUGUUGAUCCUACACGUCUGCAUCAUCUCUAUCGUCUGGUCAAGGCAUUGUAUGGACUUAAACAGGCGCCUCGUGCGUGGCAUGCGCGCCUUGGUUUUGUUCUCCAGACUCUUGGGUUUAUUCCCUCGACUACUGACACAUAA